UCUGCAUCCCUUUUCCGGAAAAGGGGUGCAGUGUGUAGACAGCCCUGGUCUUUACAAGGAGUUUCACAGGCUGAAUAUGCACUGUGUGAACAAAAACUUCCUUUUGUUUUUAAAGCUGCUAAC
Small nucleolar RNA from Pelodiscus sinensis (Chinese soft-shelled turtle), 123 nucleotides. It matches the Rfam family "Small nucleolar RNA SNORA17". Rfam says of the family: snoRNA ACA 17 belongs to the H/ACA family of snoRNAs and is predicted to guide pseudouridylation of the 28S rRNA at positions U4659 and U4598. It shares the same host gene together with ACA43. The record is from Rfam. Lineage: Eukaryota; Metazoa; Chordata; Testudines; Trionychidae.